UGGGAUCAUAGCUCAGCUGGGAGAGCAUCUGCCUUACAAGCAGAGGGUCAUAGGUUCGAGCCCUAUUGGUCCCAUC
Molecule: transfer RNA, 76 nt
Filed under: Dorea longicatena
Lineage: Bacteria; Bacillati; Bacillota; Clostridia; Lachnospirales; Lachnospiraceae
Also listed under: 1 other name
Description: tRNA-Val
Rfam family: tRNA
About the family: Transfer RNA (tRNA) molecules are approximately 80 nucleotides in length.
Source: RNAcentral